GGGAACAAAAUGAUCUUUGCUCUCGAGAGAACCUGCUUGCAGCCUUUCGUACAUCAGAAUCAAUAACGGCUCAAUCUCACAUGAAAGGUCCAAUGGUCUUUCUCGAUAAUGGAACGUUUUGAGUUUAGCAAUCAUUCGGCAUUGCCAUGGAAGAGCGAUUGAUAAAGAAAAUAGAGAAAAAAAAAAGCUUCCUUGAGAAAAAACAUACCCGAAACGACGCUUCUGUUUUCUUUCAUAUGUAAAUUGUCUAGACAAGUCUAGGCCGCGAUUCUCUGUACUGCAAAAUGUGAUGUUUGUUGUUCGUUUUGGGACACGGUCCACCUUGAUUUGUGCCAAGAAAAGUGGGGAAAAACACCCACAAACAAAUCACCUCAAGCUAAAGGAAUCGCUGGAUUGAAGUUCCACGAAAAGCGUCAUCAUUUGGGAACGAUCCUCGGAGAUCUGUCCAGAGCAGUGAUGAAGAAAUGAAGAAAGGUGGGAUUGAAUUUGUUCAAUCAAGUGUGGUGAGCUUUCUUGGGGUUCCUUCUUUGUGGUCCAACAUUCUCCAUCAUUUGGACAGAGCGUUGGACAAUCGGUGGAGUUAAGUACCGCAGAUGAGAUGAGGACACGGAACGAGCUUUCCUCGUACUUGUACUUCGACAAGAGCAUUACCCAACAUUCCCGGGCCAGUAAGGACACGCCUUUAAGCUCGACCGACUGGAUUGCAACAGCAACAGCAACAACAACAGCAACGACGGCAGCUUGUUUCCAUGUUCAAAGUGGAGCUGUUCUUUCCCUCUCAGAGCCCGCACCCGAUGAAGCUCGUUGCGCCACGGCAACGAGUACAACAAAACUGAGACUGAGGCAAGAAGGCAUGAAAGCAAGUAUUUUAGAGAAACCUCUACAGAUUAUUUCCGGCUAUUUUGCUGCCCUGACAUUAAUACAACAAGAAAGCGGAGGAUCGAUCAUUGUCAAUCGGAAGCAGGCAUGAAUUCGUCGAUUGAUGGAAGACAUUCGGGUUUGAGGAACGUCCCACGAUUAUCCCUCACAUGGACACAGUUAAAGGGGCGGACUCUCGGAGAGGGCUCAAGGGCUCCAUUCAGAAAUGAACAACGACCACAAAAGUUGGAACUCAUCUUCAUUUAUGAGGGACCCAAGAUCCAAAAAGAAGGUGCCUUCACUCAAUACUUGGAACAAGUCCUUGGACCACAGGGGAGACAAGGUUGUAUUUGCUCAUCAAGAGCUGACAAAUGAAACGAUAUGAGAUGAUCCAACUGGGGAUUACUAUGGCAUGUCAUUUCGACGAAGGAAACGACGAUCCAAAGAGAACAGGGCUCCACCCAAGGAGCGUGGUCAAUAUUGUCCUUUAAUGUGGCGAGGUAACGAGUGCUUGAUUAUCUGGCCAAUUUCUGUUGGCCGUCAAGUUUGUCUUGCUCUCCUCUCCUCUCUUCUUUUCUCCUCUUCCUUGCUCUCGUUCCCCUCUUCGUCAUCUUUCUCGAACCUUCGCUCGAAAUUCCACCGACCUUCAAGGCUAUCGGGCGUAUCGGAAUGACAUUCGUUUCCUACUUCUUCCAUACCCAAUACUACUACUCUAGCUCCUCUAGUGCAGUAUUGUGCCGUAAGUACUAUAUAUAUAUACUCGUUCGUAACGUAGUACUCUCUCAUUUCUGGUCAACUCGAGAGAAGUAAACACACGUCUCGAGAAACACUCUCCAGUCCAAGAGUCACACAACGUGUAAUAGGACAGUACACAACUCUGGUCCAAGAAGACAUACCCUUGUACUAAAGUCACUUUUUCGUCUGCUUCGUUUUCGUUUUCGUUUUCGUUUUCUUCCGUUCCGUUCCCUUUCUUCUUCUUUUCCAUAAGUAAAAGGAGAACAGAGAGUCUUGGAACCUCAAAGGACUGAAGGUGUCGAGUCAGCAAAGAUCUCGUUGACUGUCAAGUCAGCCAAUUGAGUCGAGCAGCGACCGGUCUCCAUUUAGUAUGGGUUCAUACGGUACCGAGACUGUGGAGUACUAUGUUUUGCUUUGUGGUCUCUUAUCCAUUGCCUUCAUUUCAGUGCCCUCUCAACAGAGAUCUACCAACGGAUAGACAGGGGCGUGGAGGCUCUCGGGGGAAAGUGGAGGAGAGCCCCUCCCUGUGCCAUGCCGAACAAGGACCCUUCGGACGAGAUGCCUCCCGCCACUUAAUUCAAUAACACCGAGGAGCCGGGCACAAUCUGGAACGAACAAAAAGAAGGCCUACUUUCUCCUCCUUAAACUCAGUUUUCUCCGAGUUGUUUCUUACUCACUUCCAAGGGAGCACUGUCUGUCAAGAAAUAAAUGCAUUAGGCUCUUCGUUACCUCUCGAGAAUUGAGCAUUAUUAUGGAAGACAACAAAUGCAGCAGCAGCAGCAGCAGCAGGAGCAGCAGCAAUACGUAGAGCAAGAACAAGAACACGGGCAAGAGCAGCAGCCCGCCGUCAAUGAGGUGAUCUGACAUUAAUUAGUUCUGUCACCACAGGCUUUUCCCAUCCACUCACAACAAUCGGGGCUCUUUCGCCCAUCCAUUGAGCUGGACUGGCUUCUGAGCCGAUAUUUACGUUAUGCAGACAGGGGUUGCCGUUGACAAAUGGGCCGGGCGGCUUUUGAGGACUCGACAUUGAAUUUAGCUGCCGAACCAAGAUCUGGGCGAACAAGAUUAAGGGCCCUUCCAAGAAGCCAAUUGGCAUUCGAAGGCACCACCAUUAGGAUCGAACACAAAACAUCUGCCUCUGUUGAAUUGCGUGAGACCAUCGAUAGACGACAUCGAUCGAUCAAUCGAUCUGCUUUCCAACACGCAUAAAUUAAAGCCAUCUCCAAACAUCGAGAGACUUCAAAAGUACCUUUCAUUAAUGUCCAUUCCAAAUUGUGUUUGACACGAACGAGCUCCAAAUUGAACAACAGGGUGACUAAAUGCCGUCACGUUAGAAAACCAGCAAUUGGUCUGCCCCAUAUGGCAUUUUAGAGCUCGUCAAAAGACGAGCUGAACACUGAAGGAAAAACUAGCUCAAAAGCCUGAGAAGCAUAUGACAAUGUUGUUUGUUGUCAAGUUCCAGUGGACCACGAUGUACAAACAGCACUUUGGAGAAUGUCAAGAAUGUUGUCGCGGACAUCUGCCUAUCGUAUAUUAAAUUUAGGAGAGGCUUGACAAGGUUUUCUAAUGGAGACCGACGGGUUAGAGAACCCAGUUAGACCGAAGGCCAGGCGACAGAUCAAGAGAUGGAGUGCUUGCUCGAAGCUUCGGCAUGUUCAGAGGAUGCCUCAAGUCCCCUUAUUUGAA
Long non-coding RNA from Tigriopus californicus, 3279 nucleotides. RefSeq lists it as uncharacterized. The record is from RefSeq and is a predicted model, not a curated record. NCBI's taxonomy places the organism in Eukaryota, Metazoa, Arthropoda, Copepoda, Harpacticoida, Harpacticidae. The transcript is spliced from 3 exons.